This 3156-nucleotide long non-coding RNA is filed under the name Homo sapiens (human). RNAcentral's name for it is "long non-coding RNA NONHSAT169755.1". The record is from RNAcentral. Lineage: Eukaryota; Metazoa; Chordata; Mammalia; Primates; Hominidae.
CAACUGGACUUCAGGGCCUGGGAGGAUUCACUGCAUUCUAACAGCUUAAGAAACUGUCUACCUCUUUAUAUUACUGGGAAAGAAUAUUCACAUUACAAAUCGCACAGACGAGUUUUCGCCAUGUUGGCCAGGCUGGUCUCGAACUCCUGGCCUCAAGUGAUCCACCCGCCUCGGCCUCCCAAAGUCCUGGGAUUACAGGCAUGAGCCACCUCGUCCAGCCCUUAUUGUCAUUUUUUAAAAAUAAAAAUUCAUCUAUUUCUAACCAUAUAUUCCAUUCCCCAAUAAUCCUAGGUAAGAAUUUAGUGUCUUCGAAACGUGUAGAAAUCUUAACAUGGGAGCAGUGUGAAAAGAAUGGCAAGACGGAGAGAGGCUGCUUCAGAAGGCCCCAGCAGAGCUGGCGACCUGCAGACAGACAAAGGUGGUGCAGCUGGGAGGCAGACCCCGGGCUCCACCUAGGAUAGAGGAUGUGUGAUGUGGCUCUGUGUGUCUUUACAGAGGAUGGGACCACUGUAAAGACAACUGCUAAAUGAUGAGACAGCCCAAGGGGCUCCCACAUCCCAACAGGGACCUGGUGCUGGUGGCUGACACAUGCACAUCACACCAUGAACAUGAAGCCACACGGACAGCAGUUAUAGAAGACCCAGUUUUACCCAGAAAAGGAUUUCUGUGCACAAUGCAGUUGCAUUUUCAGAGGCAAGACCGUGAGAGAGAGCCAACUGAGACUCACGGUGACGGCGGCUUCCAGAUCUGCAUGUGUCACACGAAAAUGAGGUCACAGAGGUGCCGCUGUCAAGUAGUUUAAUCAUAGUCCCUACCGUGUGUACCUAAAGAAGAGAACUGUCCUUCCCUGGACAAACCACCCACCAGGUCGAGACUCCGAUCCGGACGCUCCCUGCACAUUACCAGGGUCUGUCACCACCCGCUUUGCUUCUCAGUUCUGUGUGACACCAACGCCCAGGGCCCACAGGGGACGAUUAUCAUUAACCAGUUUGUCCUUUCUUUGACCACAUAACUCUUUGUUUUCAAUGUUACUUAUGAAUAUUGAGAAAAACUGAGCCGAAUAUCUGGUGUAUGUGGUUAUUAUAACUUAAUCAAAAGCUGUCACAUUCAUUCCUGGCAGUCACUUCUGCUGAAGCUGUAACUUCCCAACAGGGAGGCACAAUGUUUUUCCCUAUGGUAGUAGUUUUCAACCUUUUAAAAAGCAUUAAAAUGCCUUCUAGGCUGAGGCAGGAGAAUCGCUGGAACCCGGAAGGCAAAGGUUUCAAGGGAUUCCCUGCCUUGGCCUCCCAAGUAGCUGGGAUUACAGGUGCCUGCUACCAUGCCCAGCUAAUUUUUGCAUUUUUAGUAGAGAUAGAGUUUCCCCAUGUUGGCCAAGCUGGUCUCAAACUACUAACCUCAAAUGAUCCACCCGCCUUGGCCUCCCAAAGUGGUGGGAUUACAGGCAUGAGCUACAGCAACCGGGCACAGGUAUACUCUUUUUUUUUUUUUUUCUUUUUGAGACAGAGUCUUGGGGGGGAAAAAGUGUACUUUGAAAAGAAAAUCAAAAGUUGGUCGAGUUUAGCAUUCUGCCUUCUCAGAACCUUAGAGUUGUGGGGUUGGAGGCCAAGGCCUUCCUCUGAAGACUCUGAGGCAGCCUCAGCUGCCCACCCAGUGAAUUCACUCAUUUUAUCUAAGACUCCAUCUGAAGAGGGGGCUGCCUCCAUGCACAAAGUGAGUCUAGGAACCACUGCACUGGAUAAUUUAAAACUCAAACUGUUUUGGUAGAUCACCCGUGGCCAACGCACCCUGGGAUGAAUUCCAUCAAACCUGCAGAGCUAUCAGGGGACACACCAGAUACACAGCCUGCACAUGGCCUAUAGAAUCAGGUGUCCAAAGUGAGAAAGGAAGCGUGGAAGGAGGAAACCAGCAGGCGUGCAGAGGAGCAGCUGCUUUCAUCCCCAGCAGCGACACUUCCAGCCCGCGGGCCUGACGGGGACACCUGCCCACGAACCCCCUGCAGGGGACACGAGUUCUCCUUCCUCUCCGAGUCCAUCUUUAAGAUGGUAACAGAGCUCUGAAUCGUCACCAUUUUAUCAUCAGAUGAUUUCAUGUCAACAUGGACCUAGAAAUACUGUCUCAAGAGAAACUUCCUCCAGAACUUCAUUCAAGAGGAUCACAAUCUGCACCCUGGCUCCUACAGCCUAGAUAAAGGACUUGUCCUUCUAUACGAAGCAUGCAGAUACGACAGCAACCAAGAGAAGAGUACAGUACACAGUUCUGACAGGAUGCGGGCGACAGGGAGGCCUGCGGGCCAGGAUUUCAGUUUAGACUACUGCCCAACUGGGGUUGAGUGGGCAAAGCAGAUGCUGAUUGGUUGUCUUGGCACAGAGAAAAACCAAAGCAAGAAAGCUGCCAGAUAGACAGUCAAAGAGAAUGUUCUCCCUCAAAUUUUGCUACUAACAUUUUUUAUAAAAUAUUUAUUUAGAAUGCUAGCUCCUACCAAAUUGCUAUAGCUAUAGAAAAUCCUAAAGAAUAAAAGGAUUUACAUUGUAAGAAAGCCCAAAACUACAAUUUGGCAGAACAUCUGUAGAAUUAUAACUAAUCAAACUGUACUACGGCAACUUCAAAAAACCAACUGUGCCCCUAGAUGAGUCAAAUGCCGCCUUCAAUUCUCCCUGACAAAAGUAAAAUACCAAAGACAUCAGCUUAUGUAUCAAAAAAAAAAAAAAAAAUCCAUGUGCUAAAAAAUUCACUGGAGAAAAAAUGUCCAGAAGGCCACAUGGUCUUUGGCAACCACUGGAUAAACAGCAGUGGUUAGGAAUUUCCAGGGGCAAACCAGUAAAACCCAGAGGGGGCCCUGUGCAGCCUCUCAGGCACAUGGCGGGCUGGCAACCAGGAAGAGCCAGCCCCAAAGAUCUGGACGCCCUCUCAGGGGAAAUGCAGGACGCUCAGGACUGAGGCAGGACAUCAAGAGAGCAGCCAUGUAAGCUCUUGUUUCUGACCUGUUUUCUAAAAACAAAUUCCACUUAAACAGCAUCUCCCUUUAAAGCAUUUCAACUCAUUCUAACAAAAUCUAGAGCAGCCUGGUCAGUGAAGUUAGGAGCACUGGAGUUAGCAAUGAAAUGGGUGAGUUAAAGAAGCAAGUUAGUUAUCUGCCACACUGAUCCCAAUAUUAAA